GGACUAUUGGUGUAGUGGUUAUCACGUCACUUUUACACAGUGAAGGUCCCAGGUUCGAUCCCUGGAUGGUUCA
RNAcentral lists this transfer RNA (73 nucleotides) under Glarea lozoyensis 74030. RNAcentral's name for it is "tRNA-Val (TAC) (tRNA-Val-TAC-1-1)". It matches the Rfam family "tRNA". From Rfam's summary of the family: Transfer RNA (tRNA) molecules are approximately 80 nucleotides in length. The record is from RNAcentral. RNAcentral also lists the same sequence under 1 other name. Lineage: Eukaryota; Fungi; Ascomycota; Leotiomycetes; Helotiales; Helotiaceae.